CUGGUACGGACAAGGGGAA
Molecule: small nuclear RNA, 19 nt
Filed under: Arabidopsis thaliana (thale cress)
Lineage: Eukaryota; Viridiplantae; Streptophyta; Magnoliopsida; Brassicales; Brassicaceae
Description: snRNA_03468
Source: RNAcentral